This 97-nucleotide transfer RNA is filed under the name Veillonellaceae bacterium. RNAcentral describes it as "tRNA-Sec". It matches the Rfam family "Selenocysteine transfer RNA". Lineage: Bacteria; Bacillati; Bacillota; Negativicutes; Veillonellales; Veillonellaceae. RNAcentral also lists the same sequence under 1 other name. The record is from RNAcentral.
GGGGGCGGAUGGGGCCUGGUGGCUCCUGCGGUCUUCAAAACCGUUUGCGUGGCACUAACCUGUCAUGGGUGGGUUCGAUUCCUACACGCUCCCGCCA